UGGGGGAUUUUGCACAAUGGGCGCAAGCCUGAUGCAGCGACGCCGCGUGAGGGAUGAAGGCCUUCGGGUUGUAAACCUCUUUCGCUGGGUUGAAAGGCCAUGCUUUGGGUGUGGUUGAUUUGAACUGGUAAAGAAGUACCGGCUAACUACGUGCCAGCAGCCGCGGUAAUACGUAGGGUACUAGCGUUGUCCGGAUUUAUUGGGCGUAAAGGGCUUGUAGGUGGUUUGUCGCGUCUGUCGUGAAAUCCUGUGGCUUAACCAUGGGCUUGCGGUGGGUACGGGCAGGCUUGAGUGCGGUAGGGGAGACUGGAAUUCCUGGUGUAGCGGUGGAAUGCGCAGAUAUUAGGAGGAACACCGGUGGCGAAGGCGGGUCUCUGGGCCGUUACUGACACUGAGGAGCGAAAGCGUGGGGAGCGAACAGG
RNAcentral lists this ribosomal RNA (422 nucleotides) under Fusobacteriota bacterium. RNAcentral describes it as "Fusobacteria bacterium partial 16S ribosomal RNA". It matches the Rfam family "Bacterial small subunit ribosomal RNA", at positions 355 to 776 of the family's 1533-position model. The record is from RNAcentral. Lineage: Bacteria; Fusobacteriati; Fusobacteriota.